GCGUGGAAAGUUGCGAACCCAUCCGGAAUCUUGACAGGUUUCUUAACCUAUUAUACCAUUCAACUUUAACUAUUUUUAUUUCGUUUCGCAGUGAAGAGCGGCAAUUUUCGCAGAGGAAAAAGUUGCUCCUUAUUAAAAAACGCGUUGAUUGAGUCUAUUUUUAUCGAAUUCUAAGGCGGAGCCCCUAAACUGGAUAAUUACCAAAAACUUUUAGUAUUACUGCCAGUAAUGACAACCAAAGUAAGGACUACAAGAAGACUUCAACAAGGGAAGAAGAAAAAACAAGAAGAAACAGUUACUCAAGAACCACCAAAAUCUUUUCCCUGUUAGCGACAAACAACUUGUUUUAUUUGAGUCUCAUAACAGUGAAAUCAAGAUGGCACGAGUAUGUUGUGUACCAGGAUGUUCGACAGAGAAGACAGCCAUCGCAUAAAUUCCCACGAAAUGCUGAACGUAGGCUACAAUGGUUCAAGAAUUUGAAAAUGGAGCCAGUGGAGGGACCUGAGGAGAAAAA
Harpegnathos saltator (Jerdon's jumping ant) is the source of this 514-nucleotide long non-coding RNA. RefSeq lists it as uncharacterized. The transcript is spliced from 3 exons. NCBI's taxonomy places the organism in Eukaryota, Metazoa, Arthropoda, Insecta, Hymenoptera, Formicidae. The record is from RefSeq and is a predicted model, not a curated record.